RNAcentral lists this ribosomal RNA (540 nucleotides) under uncultured bacterium. Its description in RNAcentral is "bacterial SSU rRNA". It matches the Rfam family "Bacterial small subunit ribosomal RNA", at positions 355 to 890 of the family's 1533-position model. The record is from RNAcentral.
UAGGGAAUCUUCCGCAAUGGGCGAAAGCCUGACGGAGCAACGCCGCGUGAGUGAUGAAGGUCUUCGGAUCGUAAAACUCUGUUAUUAGGGAAGAACAUAUGUGUAAGUAACUGUGCACAUCUUGACGGUACCUAAUCAGAAAGCCACGGCUAACUACGUGCCAGCAGCCGCGGUAAUACGUAGGUGGCAAGCGUUAUCCGGAAUUAUUGGGCGUAAAGCGCGCGUAGGCGGUUUUUUAAGUCUGAUGUGAAAGCCCACGGCUCAACCGUGGAGGGUCAUUGGAAACUGGAAAACUUGAGUGCAGAAGAGGAAAGUGGAAUUCCAUGUGUAGCGGUGAAAUGCGCAGAGAUAUGGAGGAACACCAGUGGCGAAGGCGACUUUCUGGUCUGUAACUGACGCUGAUGUGCGAAAGCGUGGGGAUCAAACAGGAUUAGAUACCCUGGGUAGUCCGCGCCGUACGAUGAGUGCUAAGUGUUAGGGGUUUCCGCCCCUUAGUGCUGCAGCUAACGCAUUAACACUCCGCCUGGGGAGUACGACGCA